AUGAUGAAGGUUUAAGAAGCAGCAUCAUCAGCGAACUGUGUUUUGAAGAUUUGAGGGAAGGGCUGACCUCAGGAUUUUAUACUAGGAAGGCCCUAUCUCAAGUGGCUCUGGUCCAUGCAAACAGAUGGAAACGGGUGUGGGGAAGCACAGGCCUCCUACUCAUGUUAAGAGAGCUGCUCAGAGGCAGGAAUCCAGAACCAGGAAUGUCCCCAGUGGCUGCCCAAGUUGCUGACCUCCAUAACAGCAGACAAAAUUGGAAGCAAGAGUGAUUUUGGAGGAGUCACACUUAGAUGUUUCCCUUACCUAUUUCUGUUCUGGAAAUUUAAAAAUCUUACUUCUCGUGACAGUCCUACAUGAAAAAUUAAAAAUCACAAGGAUUCAUGGAUGGAAAACUGAGACUCAGAGAAUGAUCACAUUCACAUCGUAAUAAAUCAGCAAUAGAGUGAGUGAUUGUUCCUUGGUAAGAAAUCAACUCUAAACUCAGUUGGAAACCUUUGCCAAUAUUACUUAACACAUGACAAUCUGGUGUGACUCAUUUUUCUUGACAUUAUGCAAAUAAAGGAAACAAGACUGAGUGGCCUUCUGUCCGGAGAGCAGGAAAUGAAGGCUGUCUGGGGCCAC
RNAcentral lists this long non-coding RNA (621 nucleotides) under Homo sapiens (human). Its description in RNAcentral is "non-protein coding lnc-CPN2-4:41". The record is from RNAcentral. Lineage: Eukaryota; Metazoa; Chordata; Mammalia; Primates; Hominidae.